This 651-nucleotide ribosomal RNA is filed under the name Hynobius lichenatus. Its description in RNAcentral is "partial 12S ribosomal RNA". It matches the Rfam family "Bacterial small subunit ribosomal RNA", at positions 555 to 1533 of the family's 1533-position model. The record is from RNAcentral. Lineage: Eukaryota; Metazoa; Chordata; Amphibia; Caudata; Hynobiidae.
ACGGCCUAAAGCGUGAUUAAAUUAUAUUUAGAUAAAUAGAAAUAAAAAUUAACUUAACUGUCGUACGUAUUUGUUAAAUGGCAAACCAUAAACGAAAGAUAUUCUAAUAAACAAACUACUUGAAUCCACGAAAGCUAAGAAACAAACUAGGAUUAGAUACCCUACUAUGCUUAGCCUUAAACUUUGGUAUUACCCGCCCGAGUACUACGAGCCACAGCUUAAAACUCAAAGGACUUGGCGGUGCUCUACACCCCCCUAGAGGAGCCUGUUCUAUAAUUGAUAAUCCCCGCUAAACCUCGCCACUUAUUGCCAAUACCGCUUAUAUACCGCCGUCGUCAGCUCACCAUUUAAAUGAAAGAUAGUAGGCAUAAUGAUAAACAUAAAAACGUCAGGUCAAGGUGUAGCGAAUUAAGUGGAAAGAAAUGGGCUACAUUUUCUAAAUUAGAAAAUACGAAAAAUCUUAUGAAAAACUAUUUAAAGGUGGAUUUAGCAGUAAAAAGAAAACAGAGUGUUCUUUUUAAAUAGGCCCUAGAGCGCGCACACACCGCCCGUCACCCUCCUCAAAAACCAAUUAAUUAUAUAAUAAAAAGAAAAUAAAAGAAGAGGUAAGUCGUAACAUGGUAAGUUUACCGGAAGGUGUACUUGGAAUAU